This 403-nucleotide long non-coding RNA is filed under the name Ananas comosus (pineapple). RNAcentral's name for it is "long non-coding RNA (ACOM_LNC032573)". The record is from RNAcentral. Lineage: Eukaryota; Viridiplantae; Streptophyta; Magnoliopsida; Poales; Bromeliaceae.
CAUGAGGAUAAGGAAAAAAGACGCGUCCAUCUCUAAAGAGUGAAUAAAAAUGCAGAGGAUAGAAAAAAAGAAAAAAGAAAAAAAAGAAUAAAAAGUAAAAAAAAUAAAGAAAAAAAUGUCUCUUCAAAAGACUAUUAUAUAUCGUUAUUAUUAUCGAAAAAGACCAACAAGCAGAAAAAAAGAAGAAGAAAAUAAAGGUUGCACUAGUAAAAUUAUAUUGCACUGUUUAAAAUAAACGUUACACUUUUUAAAAUAACAAUUACACUUUUUAAAAUAAAAAUUGCACUAUUUUGAUACAUAUUAUACUAUUUUAAAAAAAAUUACACCGUUUUUCUUUCUCUUUCUUCUCUUCCUCCUUUCCCUCAGCAAUAGUCUGCACGACGUCGGCGUCGAGAGAGUCCAC